AGAGUUUGAUCCUGGCUCAGAAUCAACGCUGGCGGCGCGCUUAACACAUGCAAGUCGAACGAGAAAGUCCGCAAGGAUGAGUACAGUGGCGUACGGGUGAGUAACACGUGGAUCAUCUACCUCUUAGUGGGGAAUAACCCUGGGAAACCGGGGCUAAUACCGCAUAAUCCUGGGAAGGGAAAGUCGCAAGACGCUGAGAG
Molecule: ribosomal RNA, 200 nt
Filed under: uncultured bacterium
Lineage: Bacteria
Description: partial 16S ribosomal RNA
Rfam family: Bacterial small subunit ribosomal RNA
Source: RNAcentral